GAUGAAGAACGCAGCAAAAUGCGAUAAGUAAUGUGAAUUGCAGAAUUCAGUGAAUCAUCGAAUCUUUGAACGCACAUUGCGCCCGCCAGUAUUCUGGCGGGCAUGCCUGUUCGAGCGUCAUUUCAACCCUCAAGCACAGCUUGGUGUUGGGACUCGCGUUAAUUCGCGUUCCCCAAAUUGAUUGGCGGUCACGUCGAGUUCCAUAGCGUAGUAGUAAAACCCUCGUUACUGGUAAUCGUCGCGGCCACGCCGUUAAACCCCAACUUCUGAAUGUUGACCUCGGAUCAGGUAGGAAUACCCGCUGAACUUAAGCAUAUCAAUAAGCGGAGGA
Molecule: unclassified non-coding RNA, 331 nt
Filed under: soil metagenome
Description: partial contains 5.8S ribosomal RNA, internal transcribed spacer 2, and large subunit ribosomal RNA
Rfam family: 5.8S ribosomal RNA (bases 1-120)
Source: RNAcentral